RNAcentral lists this unclassified non-coding RNA (1158 nucleotides) under Hevea brasiliensis (rubber tree). The record is from RNAcentral. Lineage: Eukaryota; Viridiplantae; Streptophyta; Magnoliopsida; Malpighiales; Euphorbiaceae.
GAACAAUCGAUUUUAAGUUGUGUACGCAUCAAAUACAAUUUACAUUUAUAAUGCCUAAGUUGAUUUCCUGAAGCUGACAAUCAUAAUGACAGAAUACAUGAAAUGAAUUCAAAUUUUUUUCCUAAGGAUUAUAUGCACAUAUAUUAUCAAACCCCAUCUGUUGUCCUUCCUCGAUCUUUUUAAUCGUGUCUGCUAUGCCAAAUCCACCUAAUGAUAUUGCGCUCACAAAGAUUGUGAGGGCCAAAAUGAAGAUAAUCACAGAUGCUCUACCAACUAUGCUAAUUAUUCUUCGUACAACAUGCUGUCCUACUAAAGCUGCAAUACUGGCCACGGCAAUAAAAUACAGUGCAUAUGGAACUGGAAAACGUCCUAGCAAGUAAUAUUGUAUGACGGACAUGGAGGAGGAAAAUAUCAUCACAAAAGCAGCAGUAGCACUUGAUACCUGAGGAGGAAUCCCUAGCUCCAGAAACAAUGGACCCAAAAUGAAUCCACCGCCAAGACCUAGUAGGCCACCAACUAUACCAGCCAAAAUGCCGCAGCAACAGUAAAGAAUCAACUGAUGCACUUUCCAUGAGAUUAAUGCUUCUCCACUCGAAAGAAUCAUCCUUGAUCCCUUGUACAAACAAACAGCUUCAUAUGCAGAAGCUCCAACAGCGAUGGGGAGCUGCAAGAGGCUUAAGGUCCAAUAUGCCGUGGAGCAAGUUGGGGCAUAAUUCUUGGAGACAUGUAGAAAUAGGAUUAUGAUCCAGACAGCAAUAAGUCUGGCAGUAUCCUUCCAGUACAUAUUGUCAAAUAUUGAGACCUCCUUUUUAUAAACCUCAUUUGAAAAAGUAGAAUCAUUUUUUGGACCUCCAGGUAUAAGCUUGUACGCAACUUCUUCAACACCAGCAUCAUUAGAUGUCAAGCACCUAGCUGCUUCCUUUUUAAUAAUAGUUUCUUUCCUCCAUGUCUCGACGCCCUUGAAGAAUGCCUUGGUUGAUGCAGCUAAGAAAAGAAUGAUCAAUAAGAUUGUAACCAUCCACUCAGCAAAAAGUACGUUUAGUACAACACCAACACUGAUCCCCAAUAACAACAUUGGUUGGAAAAGAAGAGCUAGAUCAUAAUCAAUGAUGGGCAGGUCAAGUGAUGGAUGCCUCAGCUUAAGACAGUAGUAGACAG